AGCAGCCGCGGUAAUUCCAGCUCCAAUAGCGUAUAUUAAAGUUGUUGCAGUUAAAAAGCUCGUAGUUGAAUUUCGGGGUUAGUAGGCUGGUCGUGCCACAGGUAUGCACUGGUCUUACUGAUUCCUCCUUCCUGAUGAACCGUAAUGCCAUUAAUUUGGUGUUGCGGGGAGUCUGGACUGUUACUUUGAAAAAUUGAGUGUUUAAAGCAGGCUAACGCUUGAAUACAUUAGCAUGGAAUAACGAAAUAGGACGUUCGAUCCUAUUUUGUUGGUUUCUAGGAUUGACGUAAUGAUUAAUAGGGAUAGUUGGGGGCAUUAGUAUUCAAUUGUCAGAGGUGAAAUUCUUGGAUUUAUUGAAGACUAACUAC
Molecule: ribosomal RNA, 368 nt
Filed under: uncultured Glomeromycotina
Lineage: Eukaryota; Fungi; Glomeromycota
Description: SSU rRNA
Rfam family: Eukaryotic small subunit ribosomal RNA
Source: RNAcentral